AACGAACGCUGGCGGCAUGCCUAACACAUGCAAGUCGAACGAAGCCUUCGGGCUUAGUGGCGCACGGGUGCGUAACGCGUGGGAAUCUGCCCUUUAGUUCGGAAUAACAGUUGGAAACGACUGCUAAUACCGGAUGAUGACGAAAGUCCAAAGAUUUAUCGCCAGAGGAUGAGCCCGCGUAGGAUUAGCUAGUUGGUGUGGUAAAGGCGCACCAAGGCGACGAUCCUUAGCUGGUCUGAGAGGAUGAUCAGCCACACUGGGACUGAGACACGGCCCAGACUCCUACGGGAGGCAGCAGUGGGGAAUAUUGGACAAUGGGCGAAAGCCUGAUCCAGCAAUGCCGCGUGAGUGGUGAAGGCCCUAGGGUUGUAAAGCUCUUUUACCCGGGAUGAUAAUGACAGUACCGGGAGAAUAAGCCCCGGCUAACUCCGUGCCAGCAGCCGCCGUAA
RNAcentral lists this ribosomal RNA (449 nucleotides) under uncultured bacterium. RNAcentral's name for it is "partial 16S ribosomal RNA". It matches the Rfam family "Bacterial small subunit ribosomal RNA", at positions 29 to 523 of the family's 1533-position model. The record is from RNAcentral.